RNAcentral lists this ribosomal RNA (396 nucleotides) under Triticum aestivum (bread wheat). RNAcentral describes it as "partial small subunit ribosomal RNA". The record is from RNAcentral. Lineage: Eukaryota; Viridiplantae; Streptophyta; Magnoliopsida; Poales; Poaceae.
CAACAAAGCAAACUAAAGUUGUCAAAAUGUGGGGAUGGGACAGUAAAUUUGGAGACCUAUAUUUUUGAUCAAGAACUUGCUAGGAAGGAACUUGCAUUAAUGAUAUUUGUGCAUGAGUACCCUCUGUCUAUUGUUGAUCAUGCUAGAUUCCGAAAAUUUUGUGGUACUUUGCAACCAAUGUUCAAGGUGGUGUCUAGAAAUACCAUUAGGCAGGACAUUAUAAAUAUGUUUGGAGUCCAAAAGAAUAGCAUGGUGAAGUACUUUGCAAAGUUUGAGAACCGAGUAGCCAUCACAACGGAUUUGUGGAUGGCUGGCCAUCAAAAGAGGGGCUAUAUGGCUGUAACUGCACAUUAUAUUGAUGCUUCGUGGAACCUAAAGAGCUUCCUAAUGAGGUAA